Non-coding RNA from Parelaphostrongylus tenuis, 73 nucleotides. NCBI's taxonomy places the organism in Eukaryota, Metazoa, Nematoda, Chromadorea, Rhabditida, Metastrongylidae. The record is from the annotation of a GenBank genome assembly.
GCCUCGGUGGUGUAGUGGUAGAUCACGCCACCCCGGAUAGGAUGUAACGCGGGUUCGAUUCCAGCCUGAGGCC